RNAcentral lists this ribosomal RNA (253 nucleotides) under uncultured bacterium. RNAcentral's name for it is "partial 16S ribosomal RNA". It matches the Rfam family "Bacterial small subunit ribosomal RNA", at positions 524 to 776 of the family's 1533-position model. The record is from RNAcentral.
UACGUAGGGUGCGAGCGUUGUCCGGAAUUACUGGGCGUAAAGCGUGCGUAGGCGGUUCGCUGUGUCCGAUGUGAAAGCCCCGGGCUUAACCUGGGAAUAGCAUUGGAAACUGGCGGGCUUGAGUGUGGCAGAGGGGGGUGGAAUUCCGCGUGUAGCAGUGAAAUGCGUAGAGAUCGGGAGGAACACCCGUGGCGAAGGCGGCCAUCUGGACCAGCACUGACGCUGAGGCACGAAAGCGUGGGGAGCAAACAGG